GUCAGCCCCCCCACAUCAUCUCCCAAGCGGCUAAAUCCAAACACGUAGGAGGCCCGGUGGGGAGCCAAUAUGUCCAAAGGGCCCAGCGGCUCCGUGCCGUCGUCCUGAAUCCAAAGCUGAAGCGGACAUUCCACAGGCAUAUGGUGAAUGCCACAUUAGAUGUUCUCCCUUUUGCAGAUCAAACCGGAGGUCACAGCUGCACCGCUCCCAAACCAGCCGCAGAUGUGUCGGCACAGUUGCCUGACUACCAGUGCAGAUGGAACACUUUCCGGGGCUGGAAAUGAAAAGCACAAAAAGUGUUGUUUGGCAAGGAUCUACUUUGGUUCCCCUGAGAGAACCACUGACAUCAGAGAAGCCGAAAAAACAAACAAAUUUACUUGGUUUUUGUGAAGAUUUUUGCCAUGGACCCCUGACAGAUCUGAUAUGAAAUUGUGG
This is a long non-coding RNA of Gasterosteus aculeatus aculeatus (three-spined stickleback), 435 nucleotides long. NCBI's taxonomy places the organism in Eukaryota, Metazoa, Chordata, Actinopteri, Perciformes, Gasterosteidae. The record is from Ensembl.